Molecule: antisense RNA, 69 nt
Filed under: Actinophytocola oryzae
Lineage: Bacteria; Bacillati; Actinomycetota; Actinomycetes; Pseudonocardiales; Pseudonocardiaceae
Description: ASpks TB sRNA
Rfam family: ASpks TB sRNA
Source: Rfam by way of RNAcentral
CUUGACCGAGCCGAGCAGCAGCGGCUGGUCCCGGUCCUGGCCGUAGGUGGCCAGCAGUGCCUGCGCCUC